AUGAUAGAGGCGCAGGCUUCAAGAGUACCAGAGCCGUUUGGCUGACCCGCUGUUUCUGGGAAAGGGGAGACUGCCGAAGGGAUCCAUGCCGGGUCAGGCUGGAUUUCCUGGGCCGACGCAGAAUAUGCGGCGGACUGUCACGUAACGUGGAGCGCUAUCUG
This 161-nucleotide non-coding RNA is filed under the name chicken gut metagenome. Its description in RNAcentral is "Lysine riboswitch". It matches the Rfam family "Lysine riboswitch aptamer". From Rfam's summary of the family: Riboswitches are metabolite binding domains within certain messenger RNAs that serve as precision sensors for their corresponding targets. The record is from RNAcentral.